UACGGGGGAGGCAAGACGUUGUUCGGUAGUUUACUUGGGCGGUAAAGGGACGGCGUAGGCGGCGCAACAAGUCACUUGUGAAAUACUCCGGGCGUUAACUCGGAGCGGCCAAGUGAUACUGUCGUGCUAGAGUGCGGAAGGGGCAACUGGAAUUCUCGGUGUAGCGGUGAAAUGCGUAGAUAUCGAGAGGAACACCUGCGGCGAAGGCGGGUUUGCUGGGCCGACACUGACGCUGAGGCGCG
Molecule: ribosomal RNA, 242 nt
Filed under: uncultured bacterium
Lineage: Bacteria
Description: partial 16S ribosomal RNA
Rfam family: Bacterial small subunit ribosomal RNA
Source: RNAcentral